GAGGAUGUAGCUCAGAUGGUAGAGCGCUCGCUUAGCAUGCGGGAGGUAGUGAGAUCGAUAUUCAGCAUCUCCG
Molecule: transfer RNA, 73 nt
Filed under: Tropilaelaps mercedesae
Lineage: Eukaryota; Metazoa; Arthropoda; Arachnida; Mesostigmata; Laelapidae
Rfam family: tRNA
About the family: Transfer RNA (tRNA) molecules are approximately 80 nucleotides in length. Their secondary structure includes four short double-helical elements and three loops (D, anti-codon, and T loops).
Source: Rfam by way of RNAcentral